AGCAGUAGCCACGGGAAUACGGAGGGAGCUAGCGUUGUUCGGAAUUACUGGGCGUAAAGCGCACGUGGGCGGCUACUCAAGUCGGGGGUGAAAGCCCGGGGCUCAACCCCGGAACUGCCCUCGAAACUAGGUAGCUAGAAUCUUGGAGAGGUCAGUGGAAUUCCGAGUGUAGAGGUGAAAUUCGUAGAUAUUCGGAAGAACACCAGUGGCGAAGGCGACUGACUGGACAAGUAUUGACGCUGAGGUGCGAAAGCGUGGGGAGCAAACAGGAUUAGAUACCCCCGUAGUCCCUGUCUCUUAUAC
This 303-nucleotide ribosomal RNA is filed under the name uncultured bacterium. RNAcentral's name for it is "partial 16S ribosomal RNA". It matches the Rfam family "Bacterial small subunit ribosomal RNA", at positions 507 to 807 of the family's 1533-position model. The record is from RNAcentral.